Molecule: long non-coding RNA, 301 nt
Filed under: Pelobates cultripes (western spadefoot toad)
Lineage: Eukaryota; Metazoa; Chordata; Amphibia; Anura; Pelobatidae
Source: RNAcentral
AGAGAUCAAGAAGAACUGUCUAAACCUUUAUUUUACUUGGGACUAGCCCAUAUGGUCAUUACAUUAACAAUGCUGUGAAAACUCAAUAAAAUUACAAACAGCCAAAUCAUAGCAGGCAACAUACAGUGACUUAUUAUAACACAAUGGCAUAUUUUUAAAGGGGUGGGGGAGAAAUAUUUAACAUAAAAUAUCUCAGGUGCCUGCAGAAUUAGCAAUAUGCAAAUCUACCUGAAUAUGCAAAUGAACCAGUCUUGCUAUUCAGGUAGUGCAUAUUGCUGUUGCUACCAACAGAGGGCACUAG